RNAcentral lists this ribosomal RNA (349 nucleotides) under Proteobacteria bacterium ST_bin16. RNAcentral describes it as "bacterial SSU rRNA". It matches the Rfam family "Bacterial small subunit ribosomal RNA", at positions 1 to 347 of the family's 1533-position model. Lineage: Bacteria; Pseudomonadati; Pseudomonadota. The record is from RNAcentral.
AUUAAACUUAAGAGUUUGAUCCUGGCUCAGAUUGAACGCUGGCGGCAUGCUUUACACAUGCAAGUCGAACGGCAGCACGGGUGCUUGCACCUGGUGGCGAGUGGCGGACGGGUGAGUAAUACAUCGGAACGUGUCCUAAAGUGGGGGAUAACGCAUCGAAAGAUGUGCUAAUACCGCAUAAUCUCUGAGGAGAAAAGUAGGGGAUCGAAAGACCUUAUGCUUUUGGAGCGGCUGAUGUCUGAUUAGCUAGUUGGUAAGGUAAUGGCUUACCAAGGCGACGAUCAGUAGUUGGUCUGAGAGGACGACCAGCCACACUGGGACUGAGACACGGCCCAGACUCCUACGGGAG